Molecule: ribosomal RNA, 497 nt
Filed under: uncultured bacterium
Lineage: Bacteria
Description: partial 16S ribosomal RNA
Rfam family: Bacterial small subunit ribosomal RNA
Source: RNAcentral
GAUGAACGCUGGCGGCGUGCCUAAUACAUGCAAGUCGAGCGAACAGACGAGGAGCUUGCUCCUCUGACGUUAGCGGCGGACGGGUGAGUAACACGUGGAUAACCUACCUAUAAGACUGGGAUAACUUCGGGAAACCGGAGCUAAUGCCGGAUAAUAUAUUGAACCGCAUGGUUCAAUAGUGAAAGACGGUUUUGCUGUCACUUAUAGAUGGAUCCGCGCCGCAUUAGCUAGUUGGUAAGGUAACGGCUUACCAAGGCAACGAUGCGUAGCCGACCUGAGAGGGUGAUCGGCCACACUGGAACUGAGACACGGUCCAGACUCCUACGGGAGGCAGCAGUAGGGAAUCUUCCGCAAUGGGCGAAAGCUUGACGGAGCAACGCCGCGUGAGUGAUGAAGGUCUUCGGAUCGUAAAACUCUGUUAUUAGGGAAGAACAAAUGUGUAAGUAACUAUGCACGUCCUGACGGUACCUAAUCAGAAAGCCACGGCUAACUACGUG